GAUGAACGCUGACAGAAUGCUUAACACAUGCAAGUCUACUUGAACUUCGGUUUGGGUGGCGGACGGGUGAGUAACGCGUAAAGAACUUACCUCACAGUUAGGGACAACAUUUGGAAACGAAUGCUGAUACCUGAUAUUAUGAUUUUAGGGCAUCCUAAGAUUAUGAAAGCUAUAUGCGCUGUGAGAGAGCUUUGCGUCCCAUUAGCUAGUUGGAGAGGUAACGGCUCACCAAGGCGAUGAUGGGUAGCCGGCCUGAGAGGGUGAACGGCCACAAGGGGACUGAGACACGGCCCUUACUCCUACGGGAGGCAGCAGUGGGGAAUAUUGGACAAUGGACCAAAAGUCUGAUCCAGCAAUUCUGUGUGCACGAUGACGUUUUUCGGAAUGUAAAGUGCUUUCAGUUGGGAAGAAAAAAAUGACGGUACCAACAGAAGAAGUGACGGCUAAAUACGUG
This 454-nucleotide ribosomal RNA is filed under the name uncultured bacterium. RNAcentral describes it as "partial 16S ribosomal RNA". It matches the Rfam family "Bacterial small subunit ribosomal RNA", at positions 28 to 507 of the family's 1533-position model. The record is from RNAcentral.